AACAAAACUAAGAUGGACAUUUCACACAACGCAGAGCUACGAGAACAUCUCUUAUGCUCCUUGCCAUGGGAUUUUAAUGCCCCAAGGUUCAUAACUACAGCAAAGAAAGUAAGUCAAAAAUAAACUGAGCUUAAAGAAGGUGGCAGGCCAAUUUUCCCAAAAAGACUGUGGACUGUGGGCUGCUGUGUAGCCUUUGCUACAAGGCUGAGGAAGCAGAAGAAAGAUGAAUUGGGCAAUUGGUGAUGAAAAGUAUUUGCCAUUUUCAAAGGCUUCUCAGUGUGGCCAUAGAUUUUGCUAGUCAAUUUUUAAAAAAUUAUAUUUUUAGCUCAACACACAGCUCUAAAGCAGGGUUCAGUGUAGUGUGUUCUCUACCGAAAUGGUUAUAUACAGAUGGUAUGGAAAUGGUUUUAAAGAUUACUCAUAAACUAUCCUUUUAAAGAAAAACUAGACUCGGUCAUAUUUGUUAAAAUGAGCAAUGUCACCAAACAGAAAUGUAGGUGGGAAAUACUGAACCACAAACAUUUGGAGUUGCAGGCAUAGACUAGCAGAGCAUGAAUAGUCAUCACUGUUUCUAUAAUACUGAAACACUCAAAUCUGUUUCUG
RNAcentral lists this long non-coding RNA (603 nucleotides) under Homo sapiens (human). Its description in RNAcentral is "non-protein coding lnc-FAM167A-3:2". The record is from RNAcentral. Lineage: Eukaryota; Metazoa; Chordata; Mammalia; Primates; Hominidae.